RNAcentral lists this ribosomal RNA (677 nucleotides) under uncultured marine group I thaumarchaeote. RNAcentral describes it as "bacterial SSU rRNA". It matches the Rfam family "Archaeal small subunit ribosomal RNA", at positions 321 to 999 of the family's 1478-position model. Lineage: Archaea; Thermoproteati; Nitrososphaerota. The record is from RNAcentral.
CCCUAUGGGGUGCAGCAGGCGAGAAAACUUUGCAAUGUGCGCAAGCACGACAAGGUUAAUCCGAGUGUUUCCUGCUAAAGGAAUCUUUUGUUAGUCGUAAAACCACUAGUGAAUAAGGGGUGGGCAAGUUCUGGUGUCAGCCGCCGCGGUAAAACCAGCACCUCAAGUGGUCAGGAGGAUUAUUGGGCCUAAAGCAUCCGUAGCCUGUUCUCUAAGUUUCCGGUUAAAUCCAUUGGCUCAACUAAUGGGCUGCCGGAAAAACUGAAGAACUAGGGAGUGGGAGAGGUAGACGGUACUCGGUAGGAAGGGGUAAAAUCCUUUGAUCUAUUGAAGACCACCUGUGGCGAAGGCGGUCUACCAGAACACGUUCGACGGUGAGGGAUGAAAGCUGGGGGAGCAAACCGGAUUAGAUACCCGGGUAGUCCCAGCUGUAAACGAUGCAGACUCGGUGAUGCCCUGGCUUGUGGCCAGUGCAGUGCCGCAGGGAAGCCGUUAAGUUUGCCGCCUGGGAAGUACGUACGCAAGUAUGAAACUUAAAGGAAUUGGCGGGGGAGCACCACAAGGGGUGAAGCCUGCGGUUCAAUUGGAGUCAACGCCAGAAAUCUUACCCGGAGAGACAGCAGAAUGAAGGUCAAGCUGAAGACUUUACCAGACAAGCUGAGAAGAAGUGCAUGGCC